UUAAUUGAAGAGUUUGAUCAUGGCUCAGAUUGAACGCUGGCGGCAGGCCUAACACAUGCAAGUCGAGCGGCAGCACAGAGGAACUUGUUCCUUGGGUGGCGAGCGGCGGACGGGUGAGUAAUGCCUGGGAAAUUGCCCGGUAGAGGGGGGAUAACCAUUGGAAACGAUGGCUAAUACCGCAUAACCUCGCAAGAGCAAAGCAGGGGACCUUCGGGCCUUGCGCUACCGGA
This 230-nucleotide ribosomal RNA is filed under the name Vibrio cholerae. RNAcentral describes it as "partial 16S ribosomal RNA". It matches the Rfam family "Bacterial small subunit ribosomal RNA", at positions 1 to 225 of the family's 1533-position model. Lineage: Bacteria; Pseudomonadati; Pseudomonadota; Gammaproteobacteria; Vibrionales; Vibrionaceae. The record is from RNAcentral.